GGGGGUGUAGCUCAUAUGGUAGAGCGCUCGCUUUGCAUGCGAGAGGCACGAGGUUCGAUUCCCCGCACUUCCA
Transfer RNA from Ipomoea nil (Japanese morning glory), 73 nucleotides. It matches the Rfam family "tRNA". Rfam says of the family: Transfer RNA (tRNA) molecules are approximately 80 nucleotides in length. Their secondary structure includes four short double-helical elements and three loops (D, anti-codon, and T loops). The record is from Rfam. NCBI's taxonomy places the organism in Eukaryota, Viridiplantae, Streptophyta, Magnoliopsida, Solanales, Convolvulaceae.